GCCGACUUAGCUCAGUUGGUAGAGCACAGCAUUCGUAAUGCUGGGGUCAUCAGUUCAAAUCUGAUAGUCGGCACCA
Molecule: transfer RNA, 76 nt
Filed under: Alphaproteobacteria bacterium MarineAlpha3_Bin5
Lineage: Bacteria; Pseudomonadati; Pseudomonadota; Alphaproteobacteria
Also listed under: 1 other name
Description: tRNA-Thr
Rfam family: tRNA
About the family: Transfer RNA (tRNA) molecules are approximately 80 nucleotides in length. Their secondary structure includes four short double-helical elements and three loops (D, anti-codon, and T loops). Further hydrogen bonds mediate the characteristic L-shaped molecular structure. tRNAs have two regions of fundamental functional importance: the anti-codon, which is responsible for specific mRNA codon recognition, and the 3' end, to which the tRNAs corresponding amino acid is attached (by aminoacyl-tRNA synthetases). tRNAs cope with the degeneracy of the genetic code in two manners: having more than one tRNA (with a specific anti-codon) for a particular amino acid; and 'wobble' base-pairing, i.e. permitting non-standard base-pairing at the 3rd anti-codon position.
Source: RNAcentral